UACGUAGGGUGCAAGCGUUGUCCGGAAUUAUUGGGCGUAAAGAGCUCGUAGGCGGUUUGUCACGUCUGCUGUGAAAACCCGAGGCUCAACCUCGGGCCUGCAGUGGGUACGGGCAAACUAGAGUGCGGUAGGGGAGAUUGGAAUUCCUGGUGUAGCGGUGGAAUGCGCAGAUAUCAGGAGGAACACCGAUGGCGAAGGCAGAUCUCUGGGCCGUAACUGACGCUGAGGAGCGAAAGCGUGGGGAGCGAACAGG
Molecule: ribosomal RNA, 253 nt
Filed under: uncultured bacterium
Lineage: Bacteria
Description: partial 16S ribosomal RNA
Rfam family: Bacterial small subunit ribosomal RNA
Source: RNAcentral